RNAcentral lists this long non-coding RNA (321 nucleotides) under Bos taurus (domestic cattle). RNAcentral describes it as "long non-coding RNA NONBTAT001703". Lineage: Eukaryota; Metazoa; Chordata; Mammalia; Artiodactyla; Bovidae. The record is from RNAcentral.
GAACUUUUAAUUGUCUUUUGAUAUUCAUUUAAAGUGGAUAUUGGAUGUUGAACACCAGCUUUGUGUUAAACCCAUUGUUAACUGUGUCUGUAUUUUAGGGCAUGUUCUAUAACCCUGUGAUGUCCUUUAUAGGAGGGUUGAAAUAAUGGACUACUGAAGUACUUACUAGGGACUCUUCUAUGUUUGGUAAUAGGUAAAUAAAUAUGCAAAAUUAAAGGGUGAGACUAUGUAAUGCCUAGUCCCAGAAGCCUUUCAGAGUAAUGUUAUUUGGUAUCAUUCUAAUACAUUUUAUUCUUCAGCCAUUUUUUUUGAUCCAGAUUU